ACUGUGGGUGAUGAAAGUACGUCCUUAGGUUGGUCUCUUUUUGGCCGUUUUGGUCAAAACCAUGAGCCUUCCAAUGUUGGGAUCAGUCAUAGUUACACUGACACAUU
Small nucleolar RNA from Chanos chanos (milkfish), 107 nucleotides. RefSeq annotates it as small nucleolar RNA SNORD46. The record is from RefSeq and is a predicted model, not a curated record. The transcript has a single exon. Lineage: Eukaryota; Metazoa; Chordata; Actinopteri; Gonorynchiformes; Chanidae.